UACGUAGGGUGCAAGCGUUAAUCGGAAUUACUGGGCGUAAAGCGUGCGCAGGCGGUUUUGUAAGACAGAGGUGAAAUCCCCGGGCUCAACCUGGGAACUGCCUUUGUGACUGCAAGGCUUGAGUGCGGCAGAGGGGGAUGGAAUUCCGCGUGUAGCAGUGAAAUGCGUAGAUAUGCGGAGGAACACCGAUGGCGAAGGCAAUCCCCUGGGCCUGCACUGACGCUCAUGCACGAAAGCGUGGGGAGCAAACAGGAUUAGAUACCCUGGUAGUCCACGCCCUAAACGAUGUCAACUGGUUGUUGGGAAGGUUCCUUCUCAGUAACGUAGCUAACGCGUGAAGUUGACCGCCUGGGGAGUACGGCCGCAAGGUUGAA
RNAcentral lists this ribosomal RNA (374 nucleotides) under uncultured bacterium. RNAcentral describes it as "bacterial SSU rRNA". It matches the Rfam family "Bacterial small subunit ribosomal RNA", at positions 524 to 898 of the family's 1533-position model. The record is from RNAcentral.